This 433-nucleotide ribosomal RNA is filed under the name uncultured bacterium. Its description in RNAcentral is "bacterial SSU rRNA". It matches the Rfam family "Bacterial small subunit ribosomal RNA", at positions 30 to 458 of the family's 1533-position model. The record is from RNAcentral.
AUUGAACGCUGGCGGCAUGCCUUACACAUGCAAGUCGAACGGCAGCACGGGAGCAAUCCUGGUGGCGAGUGGCGAACGGGUGAGUAAUAUAUCGGAACGUGCCCAGUCGUGGGGGAUAACGUAGCGAAAGCUACGCUAAUACCGCAUACUAUCUAUGGAUGAAAGCGGGGGAUCGCAAGACCUCGCGCGAUUGGAGCGGCCGAUAUCAGAUUAGGUAGUUGGUGAGGUAAAGGCUCACCAAGCCGACGAUCUGUAGCUGGUCUGAGAGGACGACCAGCCACACUGGGACUGAGACACGGCCCAGACUCCUACGGGAGGCAGCAGUGGGGGAAUUUUUGGGACAAUGGGCGCAAGCCUGAUCCAGCAAUGCCGCGUGCAGGAUGAAGGCCUUCGGUUGGUUAACGUAGCUUUUGUUACGGUAACGGAAACGGUA